This 468-nucleotide ribosomal RNA is filed under the name uncultured bacterium. Its description in RNAcentral is "partial 16S ribosomal RNA". It matches the Rfam family "Bacterial small subunit ribosomal RNA", at positions 28 to 507 of the family's 1533-position model. The record is from RNAcentral.
GACGAACGCUGGCGGCGUGCUUAACACAUGCAAGUCGAACGGAAAGGCCCUGCUUUUGUGGGGUGCUCGAGUGGCGAACGGGUGAGUAACACGUGAGUAACCUGCCCUUGUCUUUGGGAUAUCUUCAGGUAACUGGGGCUAAUACCGGAUAGGAGCUCCUGCUGCAUGGUGGGGGUUGGAAAGUUUCGGCGUUUGGGGUUGGACUCCCGGCUUCUCAGCUUGUUGGUGGGGUAGUGGCUUACCAAGGCUUUGACGGGUAGCCGGCCUGUGAGGGUUACCGGCCACAUUGGGACUGGGAUACGGCCCAGACUCCUACGGGAGGCAACAGUGGGGAAUAUUGCACAAUGGGAGGAAGCCUGAUGCAGCAAAGCCGCGUGCGGGAUGACGGCCUUCGGGUUGUAAACCGAUUUCGCCUGUGACGAAGCGUGAGUGACGGUAAUGGGUAAAGAAGCACCGGCUAACUACGUG